GGAAUCAUACUAUAAAUAUCAAAGGUAACUCUUGAACCCUAGAUCUGCUUUUCUCUCUCUCUCGGCGGCUGCUCUCUGUUUCUUCUCGUAAGUUUCUUUUCACUUCCAUAUAAUUCAUAUAAUUUCAUCUUCUUAGUUUUGUUCAUAUAAUUCAUUGUCUCCAUCAAUUUCUCUAACUUGUUUAUGUUUCUUCCUUUUUUUUCUUCCAUUCACAUUGGAUAAUCUUAAGAGUUUAAGAUUGAAAGAUUACUUGAUUUGCUAGAUUUUGGACCUUUGAUUUUUAUGAUUAGUUAAGGGUUUUCUGUUUUGGUACUGGGAUCCUAGAUGUUCUCUUCCUCUGCUCUCUGUUUUGGUCUUCUCUUUCAUCAUGUCUUGUUCUUUUAGUGAUGUUCCACUGAUGUCUUCAAUAGAUGCUUGUUUGGUUGGUAGUACUCUUAAAUUUAUGACUAUUUAAGUUUGAUUAGUAUCUAUAGUAAUCUAGAGGUUUUUUUUGUUCUUAUUUAUGCUAUUAUAUAAGUGUGUGUGUGGUAGAGUGAAAUUGUUAAUCUAUAUGCAUACGUAUAUGUUAACUUUGUAGAAACCUACUAUCCUUAUUACAAUUUAAACUUUUCAUUCUACUUAUGAUCCUUAGGUAGUGACUUGAUUUUAACUCCUAAAUAACAAAACAACAAUGAUGCACANNNNN
This 685-nucleotide long non-coding RNA is filed under the name Trifolium pratense (red clover). RNAcentral describes it as "long non-coding RNA (TPRA_LNC006734)". The record is from RNAcentral. Lineage: Eukaryota; Viridiplantae; Streptophyta; Magnoliopsida; Fabales; Fabaceae.